This 473-nucleotide ribosomal RNA is filed under the name uncultured bacterium. RNAcentral's name for it is "SSU rRNA". It matches the Rfam family "Bacterial small subunit ribosomal RNA", at positions 26 to 518 of the family's 1533-position model. The record is from RNAcentral.
AGGACGAACGCUGGCGGCGUGCUUAACACAUGCAAGUCGAGCGGAAAGGCCCUUCGGGGUACUCGAGCGGCGAACGGGUGAGUAACACGUGAGCAACCUGCCCUUAGCUUCGGGAUAGCUCCGGGAAACCGGAAUUAAUACCGGAUAUGACUAUGGCCGACAUCAGCCAUGGUGGAAAGUUUUUCGGCUAGGGAUGGACUCGCGGCCUAUCAGCUAGUUGGUGAGGUAACGGCUCACCAAGGCGACGACGGGUAGCCGGCCUGAGAGGGCGACCGGCCACACUGGGACUGAGACACGGCCCAGACUCCUACGGGAGGCAGCAGUGGGGAAUAUUGCGCAAUGGGCGAAAGCCUGACGCAGCGACGCCGCGUGGGGGAUGAAUGCCUUCGGGUUGUAAACCCCUUUCAGCAGGGACGAAGCGAAGUGACGGUACCUGCAGAAGAAGCGCCGGCUAACUACGUGCCAGCAGCCGC